CAGGGAAUCUUGCACAAUGGGCGAAAGCCUGAUGCAGCGACGCCGCGUGGGGGAUGAAGGCCUUAGGGUCGUAAACCCCUUUCAGCAGGGACGAAAAUGACGGUACCUGCAGAAGAAGCCCCGGCCAACUACGUGCCAGCAGCCGCGGUAAUACGUAGGGGGCGAGCGUUGUCCGGAUUUAUUGGGCGUAAAGAGCUCGUAGGCGGUUGCGUAAGUCGGAUGUGAAAACUCAGGGCUCAACCCUGAGACGCCAUCCGAUACUGCGCUGACUUGAAUCCAGUAGGGGAGUGUGGAAUUCCUGGUGUAGCGGUGAAAUGCGCAGAUAUCAGGAGGAACACCCAUGGCGAAGGCAGCACUCUGGGCUGGUAUUGACGCUGAGGAGCGAAAGCAUGGGUAGCGAACAGGAUUAGAUACCCAAGUAGUCCCUGAGCGGGCUGGCAAGGCGCAU
Molecule: ribosomal RNA, 448 nt
Filed under: uncultured bacterium
Lineage: Bacteria
Description: bacterial SSU rRNA
Rfam family: Bacterial small subunit ribosomal RNA
Source: RNAcentral